Molecule: long non-coding RNA, 550 nt
Filed under: Fukomys damarensis (Damara mole-rat)
Lineage: Eukaryota; Metazoa; Chordata; Mammalia; Rodentia; Bathyergidae
Description: lncRNA (ENSFDAG00000033368.1)
Source: RNAcentral
GAAAGACUGAAGUACUGUUGACUAAAGGGAUUGUUCCAUUUUUAUUUCAAAGUAGUUUCAACCAAAGAUUUUAAUUACUGUCCUAAGAAAAGAAAGUGUAAACCCUAAACGCAAAAUCAAACACCAGAUGGUAAGCUGAUCAAAGGAUGUGGAUCCCAGACUCUUCUUUUGUCUGUGGGCACAGAAAAAUUCAUAUUAACAGUGCUACAAGCCUUCAUCAGAGCAGACCAGUGGGAACUGCCCAGCCACAUGGGUCCCUCUGCAGCAUCUCCCUCCCCAUCCCGUGCUCUCAGGCCUCCUGGUUGUGCCAGUACCUGGAUCCACACUGCAGAGACACAGGUGGUCAUAAAGGCCGUUUUACUGAGCUCCAGAAGAUAGAAUGGACGUGAACAACAGCAAUAAAGGCACAUCAGACCUCUGUAGUUGGUAAGUCAAAGGGAUAACUACCUUCCAUCAGAACUUGGACUAUCUUUAAGGAAAGGGCAGCCAGAACCUGCAGUAGAACCUUGCAGAGUUCAACCCUGCAGGAGGUUAGUUAGCUCAGUUUGGG